RNAcentral lists this ribosomal RNA (440 nucleotides) under uncultured bacterium. RNAcentral describes it as "partial 16S ribosomal RNA". It matches the Rfam family "Bacterial small subunit ribosomal RNA", at positions 338 to 795 of the family's 1533-position model. The record is from RNAcentral.
CCUACGGGAGGCAGCAGUGGGGAAUAUUGCACAAUGGGGGAAACCCUGAUGCAGCGACGCCGCGUGAAGGAAGAAGUAUUUCGGUAUUGAAACUUCUAUCAGCAGGGAAGAAAAUGACGGUACCUGACUAAGAAUCCACGGCUAACUACGUGCCAGCAGCCGCGGUACUACGGAGGGGGCAAGCGUUAUCCGGAUUUACUGGGUGUUAAGGGAGCGUAGGCGGUUUAGCAAGGCAGAAGGGAAAGCCCGGGGCUCAACUUCGGGACUGCUGUUGAAACUGUUGAACUAGAUUGCAGGAGAGGUAAGUGGAAUUCCUGGUGUAGCGGUGAAAUGCGUAGAUAUUAGGAGGAACACCAGUGGCGAAGGCGGCUUACUGGACUGUAAAUGACGCUGAGGCUCGAAAGCGUGGGGAGCAAACAGGAUUAGAUACCCGGGUAGUC